This is a long non-coding RNA of Anneissia japonica, 1155 nucleotides long. RefSeq lists it as uncharacterized. Lineage: Eukaryota; Metazoa; Echinodermata; Crinoidea; Comatulida; Comatulidae. The record is from RefSeq and is a predicted model, not a curated record. The transcript is spliced from 2 exons.
UUCUUGAAAGUGUUUCUAUUUUUUUUUUAUUUAAAGAAUACGAUUGAAAACAUCCGAAAACUUGCAACAUUUAUUGGAUUGUCUACAUCUGAAGCAGUUCUGCAAAAAACUGUCGAAAACUCAUCAGCAAAGCGGACAAAAGAAGUCAUGGACAAUAAAACCGAAGCUGCAACACUGACAAAAGUGGGAGAAUUUGUUCGCAAAGGCAUUGUUGGUGAUUGGAAGUCACUUUUUACCGUAUCUCAGAGUGAGACAUAUGAUGAAAUACACAAGAAGUUCCUAAAAGAAACGGGAUUAGUGAUGGACUUUGAAUAACUUUAAACGGUUUCCUUGGCUUGGAGGUUCAGGACUAAAUAUGGAGUUUGAAUAGGCCUAGGCGAUUAUGAGAACCCGACGCGACGAGGUGUGCGUAAUGGAUCGUUUUUAACUAUCCCCUCAGUCUGCAACACCGACAUUCAACAAACGGCGUUGAACCGAGCGCUCACAAAAAACGGAGAAGUAUUUGCAUUGUCGUACAACGCAGUGUGAAUAUAUAUGAAAUGAUUAUUUAAUAUUGAAAACUUAUUAGGUUGAUGAAAACUUUAUUAUGGUAUAAAAAUUAUUAUAAAACAGAUGAAUUUAAAAUAUAUGUAAUUUGCAGUAUUCAUAAUAUAAUAUAUUAUUACUGUUUUAUUAUUAUUAUUAUUAUUAUUAUUAUUAUUAUUAUUAUUAUUAUAUAUAUAUAUAUCUUGUAUUAGCAAUUAUAUUGGCCUACAUUGUUUCUCUGAGAUCUGUAAAGGCAAUUUACUACCACUCGAAAAAAAAAGACGCUUUCGGUGGCCUAUAUUUUUAGUAAAAUUUGGGUAGGGGCCAUGCGACGUGCAAAGCACAUGCAGGUGUGGGGACGUGUUGCUUGAUAUAAACAGUAUAAAUUAGCUUGUUUUGGGGCACUGUACUUCCACCUUUGUCCUUCUUGUUUCUUCCUUUCUGGCUUUCUUUAAGGGGAGUGGGAAGCUGCCAUGGUCUACCCCCACCCCCCACCCACCGGCCCUCUCGAUCCGUUCAGUCUGCACAUAUUUUCACAAAUAUAGUGAUUAACCUUGAUUUUAUGAAAUCGUUUUUAAGAUAUUGUAUUUCACAAUUUUCGUCGUUUGAUUAAAUGUCAAUACCACGCAA